Molecule: ribosomal RNA, 515 nt
Filed under: uncultured bacterium
Lineage: Bacteria
Description: partial 16S ribosomal RNA
Rfam family: Bacterial small subunit ribosomal RNA
Source: RNAcentral
GAUGAACGCUGGCGGCGUGCCUAAUACAUGCAAGUCGAGCGAAUGGAUUAAGAGCUUGCUCUUAUGAAGUUAGCGGCGGACGGGUGAGUAACACGUGGGUAACCUGCCCAUAAGACUGGGAUAACUCCGGGAAACCGGGGCUAAUACCGGAUAACAUUUUGAACCGCAUGGUUCGAAAUUGAAAGGCGGCUUCGGCUGUCACUUAUGGCUGGACCCGCGUCGCAUUAGCUAGUUGGUGAGGUAACGGCUCACCAAGGCAACGAUGCGUAGCCGACCUGGCAGGGUGAUCGGCCACACUGGGACUGAGACACGGCCCAGACUCCUACGGGAGGCAGCAGUAGGGAAUCUUCCGCAAUGGACGAAAGUCUGACGGAGCAACGCCGCGUGAGUGAUGAAGGCUUUCGGGUCGUAAAACUCUGUUGUUAGGGAAGAACAAGUGCUAGUUGAAUAAGCUGGCACCUUGACGGUACCUAACCAGAAAGCCACGGCUAACUACGUGCCAGCCGCCGCCGUAA